AAUCAAAACGAAUCUGUUUGUUUCACAAUGAGAAGAUUUGUUAUACUUGUGCUUUUCUCUUCCGUAUUACCCAAACCACAGUAAUCACGAACAAAAAUGGACGAUGUUGAAAGAGAUGCUGAGAUAAAUUGUCAAGUUCUUGAAUCUGUCUCACUUGCGGGCCGUCCAAGCCCAAAGAUCAAACGAAGCUACACUAGUGUUUCAAAUAAGCCAGCCCGUAAAUUUGUCUACUAUUGGCCCAUUAAAAGAGACCCAAUUGUUGACCCCGAUUCAGAGGAAAAUGCCCAAACCCGUGAAUCUGUUUCAAUUCCCACCACUUCUUUUAACAUUCGUCCCAUGUUCUGGUAUCGGAUCAAGACCUUUCGUGGAAAGCGCACAGAAGAAAUUUAUCAAGAAUUGGAGGAUGACAAUUGAGCGUACAACUCCUAAAACUUAUUGAAUUUCAACCGUUUUACGGUUUAAAGCCACUACGUUAUUUGUCAUUGCUUUUAAAAUGUUACGCAUGAUUUUGUGAGUGUAUAGCAUAAUUGUUGUUGAAAUUGUCUAUUUGUCUUUUUAAUGUGUGUUGAUCGUUAUUGUCUUUGAGAAUAAUGAUUAAUCUUGUAACUUUCUAUGUAUAUAUAUCAAUAUAUGUAAGGUUCAAACUGUCACACCUAUCUCGUUGUUUAUUAAGUGUGUAGUUUCAACUGUUUUACUGUUUAGGGUCACUACGUUAUUUGUCGUUCCUAAGUUGAUGUUGUAUUUUUAAUGUACGUAAAUUGUAUUUAUCUUUAAGAAUAAUGGUUAACCCUGUAUUUUUCA
Chenopodium quinoa (quinoa) is the source of this 801-nucleotide long non-coding RNA. RefSeq lists it as uncharacterized. The record is from RefSeq and is a predicted model, not a curated record. Lineage: Eukaryota; Viridiplantae; Streptophyta; Magnoliopsida; Caryophyllales; Amaranthaceae. The transcript is spliced from 2 exons.